Molecule: ribosomal RNA, 1346 nt
Filed under: uncultured bacterium
Lineage: Bacteria
Description: bacterial SSU rRNA
Rfam family: Bacterial small subunit ribosomal RNA
Source: RNAcentral
GACGAACGCUGGCGGCGUGCUUAACACAUGCAAGUCGAACGGAAAGGCCCUGCUUUUGUGGGGUGCUCGAGUGGCGAACGGGUGAGUAACACGUGAGUAACCUGCCCUUGACUUUGGGAUAACUUCAGGAAACUGGGGCUAAUACCGGAUAGGAGCUCCUGCUGCAUGGUGGGGGUUGGAAAGUUUCGGCGGUUGGGGAUGGACUCGCGGCUUAUCAGCUUGUUGGUGGGGUAGUGGCUUACCAAGGCUUUGACGGGUAGCCGGCCUGAGAGGGUGACCGGCCACAUUGGGACUGAGAUACUGCCCAGACUCCUACGGGAGGCAGCAGUGGGGAAUAUUGCACAAUGGGCGGAAGCCUGAUGCAGCAACGCCGCGUGCGGGAUGACGGCCUUCGGGUUGUAAACCGCUUUCGCCUGUGACGAAGCGUGAGUGACGGUAAUGGGUAAAGAAGCACCGGCUAACUACGUGCCAGCAGCCGCGGUGAUACGUAGGGUGCGAGCGUUGUCCGGAUUUAUUGGGCGUAAAGGGCUCGUAGGUGGUUGAUCGCGUCGGAAGUGUAAUCUUGGGGCUUAACCCUGAGCGUGCUUUCGAUACGGGUUGACUUGAGGAAGGUAGGGGAGAAUGGAAUUCCUGGUGGAGCGGUGGAAUGCGCAGAUAUCAGGAGGAACACCAGUGGCGAAGGCGGUUCUCUGGGCCUUUCCUGACGCUGAGGAGCGAAAGCGUGGGGAGCGAACAGGCUUAGAUACCCUGGUAGUCCACGCUGUAAACGGUGGGUACUAGGUGUGGGGUCCAUUCCACGGGUUCCGUGCCGUAGCUAACGCUUUAAGUACCCCGCCUGGGGAGUACGGCCGCAAGGCUAAAACUCAAAGGAAUUGACGGGGCCCCGCACAAGCGGCGGAGCAUGCGGAUUAAUUCGAUGCAACGCGUAGAACCUUACCUGGGUUUGACAUGGAUCGGGAGCGCUCAGAGAUGGGUGUGCCUCUUUUGGGGUCGGUUCACAGGUGGUGCAUGGCUGCCGUCAGCUCGUGUCGUGAGAUGUUGGGUUAAGUCCCGCAACGAGCGCAACCCUUGUUCACUGUUGCCAGCACGUUAUGGUGGGGACUCAGUGGAGACCGCCGGGGUCAACUCGGAGGAAGGUGGGGAUGACGUCAAGUCAUCAUGCCCCUUAUGUCCAGGGCUUCACGCAUGCUACAAUGGCUGGUACAGAGAGUGGCGAGCCUGUGAGGGUGAGCGAAUCUCGGAAAGCCGGUCUCAGUUCGGAUUGGGGUCUGCAACUCGACCUCAUGAAGUCGGAGUCGCUAGUAAUCGCAGAUCAGCAACGCUGCGGUGAAUACGUUCCCGGGGCU